GGAUUAGAUACCCUGGUAGUCCACGCCGUAAACGAUGUCUACUUGGAGGUUGUGCCCUUGAGGCGUGGCUUCCGGAGCUAACGCGUUAAGUAGACCGCCUGGGGAGUACGGCCGCAAGGUUAAAACUCAAAUGAAUUGACGGGGGCCCGCACAAGCGGUGGAGCAUGUGGUUUAAUUCGAUGCAACGCGAAGAACCUUACCUGGUCUUGACAUCCACGGAAAUUUUCAGAGAUGAGAAUGUGCCUUCGGGAACCGUGAGACAGGUGCUGCAUGGCUGUCGUCAGCUCGUGUUGUGAAAUGUUGGGUUAAGUCCCGCAACGAGCGCAACCCUUAUCCUUUGUUGCCAGCGGUCCGGCCGGGAACUCAAAGGAGACUGCCAGUGAUAAACUGGAGGAAGGUGGGGAUGACGUCAAGUCAUCAUGGCCCUUACGACCAGGGCUACACACGUGCUACAAUGGCGCAUACAAAGAGAAGCGACCUCGCGAGAGCAAGCGGACCUCAUAAAGUGCGUCGUAGUCCGGAUUGGAGUCUGCAACUCGACUCCAUGAAGUCGGAAUCGCUAGUAAUCGUGGAUCAGAAUGCCACGGUGAAUACGUUCCCGGGCCUUGUACACACCGCCCGUCACACCAUGGGAGUGGGUUGCAAAAGAAGUAGGUAGCUUAACCUUCGGGAGGGCGCUUACCACUUUGUGAUUCAUGACUGGGGUGAAGUCGUAACAAGGUAACCGUAGGGGAACCUGCGGUUGGAUCACCUCCUUA
This 758-nucleotide ribosomal RNA is filed under the name Salmonella enterica subsp. enterica serovar Manhattan str. 111113. Its description in RNAcentral is "SSU rRNA". It matches the Rfam family "Bacterial small subunit ribosomal RNA", at positions 775 to 1533 of the family's 1533-position model. The record is from RNAcentral. Lineage: Bacteria; Pseudomonadati; Pseudomonadota; Gammaproteobacteria; Enterobacterales; Enterobacteriaceae.